RNAcentral lists this ribosomal RNA (1532 nucleotides) under metagenome. RNAcentral describes it as "bacterial SSU rRNA". It matches the Rfam family "Bacterial small subunit ribosomal RNA". The record is from RNAcentral.
AGAGUUUGAUUCUGGCUCAGAACGAACGCUGGCGGCGUGGAUUAGGCAUGCAAGUCGUACGCGAAUUGGAUUUGAGUAUUCUUCGGAAUGCAAGAAUCCAUAGUAGAGUGGCGAACAGGUGAGUAACACGUGGGCAACCUGCCCUCGAGUUGGGAAUAACACCCCCAACGGGGUGCUAAUACCGAAUAACAUCGCGCCGACUAUGUCGGUGCGAUCAAAGACAGCCUCUGCUUGCAAGCUGUCGCUUGAGGAUGGGCCCGCGUCCUAUUAGCUUGUUGGUGAGGUAACGGCUCACCAAGGCGAUGAUGGGUAGCUGGUCUGAGAGGAUGGUCAGCCACACUGGGAUUGAGAUACGGCCCAGACUCCUUCGGGGGGCAGCAGUCGAGAGGCUUUGGCAAUGGGGGAAACCCUGACCAAGCGACGCCGCGUGGGUGAUGAAGGCCUUCGGGUUGUAAAGCCCUGUUGAGGGGGAAGAAACGCCUCGAGGUUAAUAGCCUCGGGGUUUGACGGUACCCCUAGAGGAAGCUCCGGCAAACUCCGUGCCAGCAGCCGCGGUAAUACGGAGGGAGCAAGCGUUGUUCGGAUUUACUGGGUGUAAAGGGCGUGUAGGCGGCCUUGUAAGUCGGGCGUGAAAACCUCUGGCUCAACCAGAGAUCUGCGCUUGAUACUGCGAGGCUUGAGUGCAGGAGAGGAAAGCGGAAUUCCUGGUGUAGCGGUGAAAUGCGUAGAUAUCAGGAAGAACACCAGUGGCGAAGGCGGCUUUCUGGUCUGUCACUGACGCUAAGGCGCGAAAGCCAGGGGAGCGAACGGGAUUAGAUACCCCGGUAGUCCUGGCCGUAAACGUUGGCACUAGGUGUAGGAGGUAUCGACCCCUUCUGUGCCGCAGCUAACGCAUUAAGUGCCCCACCUGGGGAGUACGACCGCAAGGUUGAAACUCAAAGGAAUUGACGGGGGCCCGCACAAGCGGUGGAGUAUGUGGUUCAAUUCGAUUCAACGCGAAGAACCUUACCCAGGCUUGACAUGCACUUGACAGGUGUGGAAACACACCCUCCCUUCGGGGCAGGUGCACAGGUGCUGCAUGGCUGUCGUCAGCUCGUGCCGUGAGGUGUUGGGUUAAGUCCCUUAACGAGCGCAACCCUUGCCCUUAGUUGCCAUCAGGUUAUGCUGGGCACUCUAGGGGGACUGCCGGUGAUGAAUCGGAGGAAGGUGGGGAUGACGUCAAGUCCUCAUGGUCCUUACGUCUGGGGCUACACACGUACUACAAUGGCCGGUACAAAGGGUCGCAAUGCCGCGAGGUGGAGCAAAUCCCAGAAAACCGGUCUCAGUUCGGAUUGGAGUCUGCAACUCGACUCCAUGAAGCUGGAAUCGCUAGUAAUCGCAGAUCAGCACGCUGCGGUGAAUACGUUCCCGGGCCUUGUACACACCGCCCGUCAAGCCACGAAAGCCAGGAGAACCCAAAGUCGCUGUACUAACCGCAAGGAAGGAAGCGCCUAAGGUAAGACUGGUGAUUGGGGCUAAGUCGUAACAAGGUA